Long non-coding RNA from Thrips palmi, 1118 nucleotides. RefSeq lists it as uncharacterized. The transcript has 4 exons. The record is from RefSeq and is a predicted model, not a curated record. NCBI's taxonomy places the organism in Eukaryota, Metazoa, Arthropoda, Insecta, Thysanoptera, Thripidae.
UUUUGUUUACAUGCAUUUUGCAUCUUGUUGCUCGGCUUUCUUGAAUUCUUAUGAAGGUCCUUUACGCCUGUUGCCAAAGCACAGAGUUUUGUGUCGCCUGGGAAAUUAAUUUGAACGAUUCGCCGAUCCAUCUGAGCACGCACGUUAGUCGGAUGAGAGUGAAAAUCCUCUUAGUUGUACAUACAUUUAGUGCCCGGCUUACCCUAACCCUCCUUUGUUAUGCUGCUGUUAAGAUUCGCGUUUUAUCGUUUGCUUCAUGCUUUGUUGCUCCAGACCCUGCGUUAAGUCAUUACAAGUGUUGAACCUCCAUUUUUCUGUCACCCAGGUUCCGUGUUGUCCAUUCAGCUCUGAUUCCAACCCAGCUCUGUCCUUCUGGGAGAUCAUCUAGCCCACCUGUUGUCCACUUCUGCCUCAGGAACCCAACUUGCUGCAUUUGUGGCCUUCACAUGUGACCGAGAUGGAGAUGGAGGCAGUUUGCUGCUAGCAGUCGGUGUUCACUCCAGAACCCAGCGAGGAGAUGCAAGCACCAGAGUGUCGGGUCCACUUUUUCUGGUCGAUUGCCUCCACCGCCAAGUGGACCCAAGCUGAUAGGACUCGUCAGGUUCCGUGUUGUCCAUUCAACUCUGAUUCCGACCCAGCUCUGCCUCUCUUGGGGGUCAUCUAGUCCACCUGCUGUCCGCUUCCGCCUCAGGAACCAAACUUGCUGCAUUUGUGGUUUAAUGUAGCUUCUCAUGUGACUGAGAUGGAGAUGGAGGCAGUUUGCUGCUAGCAGUCGGUGUUCACUCCAGAACCCAGCGAGGAGGUGCAAGCACCAGUGUGUUGGGUUCACUCCUUCUGGUCGAUUGCCUCCACCACCAAGACUCAAGCGGACAGGACUCUCUUACUUUAGUUGUGUAGACAGUUUUGUUUCCAUUCUCUAGCAUCCUUUGACAUACAUAUCAGUCUAUCAGAAGAAAUGUUUAUCGUGCAAGUGAAAAUCUCUGUUUGAGAUACGCCACUUGGGUAGAUUCCCCCCUCUUCCCCAAUUUAGUCACUGAUGUGUUGCUGUAAAUUUUUUAUUAAAAUUGUCAUUUAAUUAAUUAUAACAAUCCUGUUGUUCUUUUUCUUUAUUCCACUUU